CCGUGCUAGACGGGGAGCUAGCGGUGCCCUGUACCCGCAAUCCGCUAUAGCGGGGUCGAACUCCCUCUCGAGGUCUCGUGUUGUCGGGGACUGCCGAGGAGAAGUAGCGAUGAAGGCCGGGUCCUGCGCAGCAGAAGCCUACGAACUCCGUCAGGUCCGGGAGGAAGCAGCGGUAAGUAGUCACUUCUGGGUGCCGCAGGGGCACCUGGUUGGAGCCAACUGGCCUCGGUAAGCUGGGCAGUCCGGAUCGACAGAGGGUGCACGG
RNAcentral lists this signal recognition particle RNA (265 nucleotides) under Chloroflexota bacterium. RNAcentral's name for it is "Chloroflexi bacterium (marine sediment metagenome) signal recognition particle sRNA large type". It matches the Rfam family "Bacterial large signal recognition particle RNA". Rfam says of the family: The signal recognition particle (SRP) is a universally conserved ribonucleoprotein involved in the co-translational targeting of proteins to membranes. Archaeal SRP consists of a 7S RNA and homologues of the eukaryotic SRP19 and SRP54 proteins. In most bacteria, the SRP consists of a 4.5S RNA and the Ffh protein (a homologue of the eukaryotic SRP54 protein). The record is from RNAcentral. RNAcentral also lists the same sequence under 1 other name. Lineage: Bacteria; Bacillati; Chloroflexota.